GGCCGGUCGGCAGCCGCCGCUUCCUUCGCCAUCUUGUAAACGCAUGCAAGUGAAGCACCCACAUCAAACGUUUAUGCCAAUAUCGAUUCAAUAAACUCAAACCAGACGAAGAUUACAAACUGGUCAGUAUUUAAAUAAUGACAUAUUGCUGAAUGCUAGUGAAUCGUAAAUAUAGAAUAUAACAAACUAUAGCGUAUUAUAAAAUAUUGAAAGAACAGCUCACAACAAGGUAACGUUUAAUUUGAGUGGUUCACGUUGCGUGCGGCGAGGCGCCGACACCCGAGACUAGCUUAGCUGGGAGCUAACGAGGCAUGACUUCAUUUAAAGCACCUUUUUAUUUGGCUUGGUUAUGUUUUUUAAGAUUUUUUUUUGUUACUUUCCUGAGAAUUGCGGUAGCAUCGAAUAUACACGUCGCUUUAGAAGUAUGACUGCAUUAUGAAUAAAUAAAAAUAAUUUGGUUACGCUUGAAAAUUUUAGCAGUUGCAAUAAUUUCCCGUAAAAUGUUCGCGCAAAGUUAACCGUUUCAUUAGGAAGGAUGAGAAAGGCGUGUAUGUUGGAUGUUACCGCAACCAGGAGAGAUUCUGUCGCGGAAGGCGACGCUUACCUCCUUUGUGAGACCUGCUAGCAGCUAGCAAUAAAAUUGUGGUUUUGUGAUAAAUACAAUAAAAUUGACAACUUAAUAAUUAAAUAAUUGAAACGUAAUCAUAAUUUUUGUACAAGUUUUUAAUGUUUAAAAAGAACAGCAAUGUAUUCAGUACAUGUGUGACUGCGGGGAGACGCAACUGCAUAUUUGAUACGUUUACGAGAUUUUAGCUAAUUGUAUUAAGCCAUUUUCGUGCUAUUUUUGUAAUGUUAACUAGGCGCUUGUGUUGUGUUAGUCUUAGUGUAAAUUAUAUUCAUUCCUCUCCUGUUUAUGUUUCGUGUGAGUCCUAUAUCGAGGGCGCCUAUCUACUCGAUCGGGUAGCCGUAUUCAUUUAAAUAUUGAAAACUCAUUGGGAUACCCAACGUUCUCGUGGAGCGAAUAAAGAUGACAUUUCACAAGUCACGCAACGCGGGAUUUGAAAACGAUACCGCUUUGAAACGCGGUAUGGUUUCCAAGGCUCGGCUUAGCGUUGGCGGUCGAGAGUUCAUCUGUAGUCCAUCGUCGCUCUUUACCAUCACAAUCACAAAUAGGAGAGGAAUGCAAUGGUCGAUAAUAUCAUGUGUUACUGAGAUAAGUAGUAUUUUUGUACACGGCCGGCGGGGGCGCGGGCGGAGUGUGGCCCCCGCGAGGCGCUAGUGUGUUCAAGUUAAUAUUAUAACCGCAUCUACCUCACUUGUAAAGCAUUGAAGACUGAUUGGAAUUAAUGUAACGGUGGUCAGAUCACCGCUUAGAAGUCUGUUGUCUACUGAUACUUUACGCCCAAAAAUUCUACUGUGUGCUUUACAAUUUAAGAUAUCAGUUUCGUUUCUACGUACAUAGUAUUAUUGUAAUUAUUGUGCAACUCGUGCAUGACGUGGUGGACAGCAGCCUUUUCUUUUUUUAUAUCUAUAUCUUACGUUAACUUCGGUAAUACUGUUGAAAGAAGACUGAAAUUUUAUAAAUGUUCCUAUAUUUUAAUUUAGUGCUACCAUAUUUCGUUUACAUUAUUUUACCCUUUCGGUAAUUAUCAUUACAUUCUUAUCUUAUCAAUUGUAUGUGACGCUAUAUAAUGUCAUGAAAUUUUUGAAAAUUUUAAUGGAAUUUUGUAUGGAAAUUUAAUAAAGUGAUUGAUAGAACAA
This is a long non-coding RNA of Cydia fagiglandana, 1761 nucleotides long. RefSeq lists it as uncharacterized. The record is from RefSeq and is a predicted model, not a curated record. The transcript is spliced from 2 exons. Lineage: Eukaryota; Metazoa; Arthropoda; Insecta; Lepidoptera; Tortricidae.